UGCAAUGUCUGGACGUGGUAAGCAAGG
This 27-nucleotide non-coding RNA is filed under the name Homo sapiens (human). The record is from RNAcentral. Lineage: Eukaryota; Metazoa; Chordata; Mammalia; Primates; Hominidae.